GACGAACGCUGGCGGCGUGCCUAAUACAUGCAAGUUGAGCGCUGAAGGUUGGUACUUGUACCAACUGGAUGAGCAGCGAACGGGUGAGUAACGCGUGGGGAAUCUGCCUUUGAGCGGGGGACAACAUUUGGAAACGAAUGCUAAUACCGCAUAAAAACUUUAAACACAAGUUUUAAGUUUGAAAGAUGCAAUUGCAUCACUCAAAGAUGAUCCCGCGUUGUAUUAGCUAGUUGGUGAGGUAAAGGCUCACCAAGGCGAUGAUACAUAGCCGACCUGAGAGGGUGGUCGGCCACCUUGGGACUGAGACACGGCCCAAACGCCUACGGGAGGCAGCAGUAGGGAAUCUUCGGCAAUGGACGGAAGUCUGACCGAGCAACGCCGCGUGAGUGAAGAAGGUUGUCGGAUCGUAAAACUCUGUUGGUAGAGAAGAACGUUGGUGAGAGUGGAAAGCUCAUCAAGUGACGGUAACUACCCAGAAAGGGACGGCUAACUACGUG
This 497-nucleotide ribosomal RNA is filed under the name uncultured bacterium. Its description in RNAcentral is "partial 16S ribosomal RNA". It matches the Rfam family "Bacterial small subunit ribosomal RNA", at positions 28 to 507 of the family's 1533-position model. The record is from RNAcentral.